Molecule: ribosomal RNA, 1374 nt
Filed under: uncultured bacterium
Lineage: Bacteria
Description: bacterial SSU rRNA
Rfam family: Bacterial small subunit ribosomal RNA
Source: RNAcentral
UUGAACGCUGGCGGUAUGCUUAACACAUGCAAGUCGAACGGAAACGAUACUAGCUUGCUAGUAGGCGUCGAGUGGCGGACGGGUGAGUAACGCGUAGGAAUCUGCCUGAUAGUGGGGGAUAGCCCGAAGAAAUUCGGAUUAAUACCGCAUAAUCUAUUCGUAGUAAAGUGGGGGACUUUCGAGCCUCACGCUAUCAGAUGAGCCUGCGUAAGAUUAGCUUGUUGGUAGGGUAAAAGCCUACCAAGGCGACGAUCUUUAGCUGGUCUGAGAGGAUGAUCAGCCACAUCGGGACUGAGACACGGCCCGAACUCCUACGGGAGGCAGCAGUGGGGAAUAUUGGACAAUGGGGGCAACCCUGAUCCAGCAAUACCGCGUGUGUGAAGAAGGCCUGAGGGUUGUAAAGCACUUUCAAUUGUGAAGAAAAGUUAACGGUUAAUAACCGUUAGCCUUGACGUUAACUUUAGAAGAAGCACCGGCUAACUCCGUGCCAGCAGCCGCGGUAAUACGGAGGGUGCAAGCGUUAAUCGGAAUUACUGGGCGUAAAGCGUGCGUAGGCGGUUUAUUAAGUCAGAUGUGAAAGCCCCGGGCUUAACCUGGGAACUGCAUUUGAAACUGGUCAACUAGAGUAUGGUAGAGGAAAGUGGAAUUUCUGGUGUAGCGGUGAAAUGCGUAGAUAUCAGAAGGAACAUCAAUGGCGAAAGGCAGCUUUCUGGACCAAUACUGACGCUGAGGUACGAAAGCGUGGGUAGCAAACAGGAUUAGAUACCCUGGUAGUCCACGCCGUAAACGAUGAUAACUAGCCGUUGGGGGGAUUUACCCUUUAGUGGCGAAGCUAACGCGUUAAGUUAUCCGCCUGGGGAGUACGGCCGCAAGGUUAAAACUCAAAGGAAUUGACGGGGACCCGCACAAGCGGUGGAGCAUGUGGUUUAAUUCGAUGCAACGCGAAGAACCUUACCUGGUCUUGACAUCCUGCGAACUUUCUAGAAAUAGAUUGGUGCCUUCGGGAACGCAGUGACAGGUGCUGCAUGGCUGUCGUCAGCUCGUGUCGUGAGAUGUUGGGUUAAGUCCCGUAACGAGCGCAACCCCUAUCCUUAUUUGCCAGCACAUCAUGGUGGGAACUAUAAGGAGACUGCCGGUGAUAAACCGGAGGAAGGCGGGGACGACGUCAAGUCAUCAUGGCCCUUACGACCAGGGCUACACACGUGCUACAAUGGGAAGGACAAAGAGCUGCGAAGCCGCGAGGUGUAGCUAAUCUCAUAAACCUUUUCGUAGUCCGGAUUGGAGUCUGCAACUCGACUCCAUGAAGUCGGAAUCGCUAGUAAUCGUAGAUCAGAAUGCUACGGUGAAUACGUUCCCGGGUCUUGUACACACCGC